This 463-nucleotide ribosomal RNA is filed under the name uncultured bacterium. RNAcentral describes it as "partial 16S ribosomal RNA". It matches the Rfam family "Bacterial small subunit ribosomal RNA", at positions 28 to 507 of the family's 1533-position model. The record is from RNAcentral.
GACGAACGCUGGCGGCGUGCUUAACACAUGCAAGUCGAACGGUGAACCUCUUCGGAGGGGAUCAGUGGCGAACGGGUGAGUAACACGUGGGCAACCUGCCCCCGGCUCUGGGAUAACUCCAAGAAAUUGGGGCUAAUACCGGAUGUUCACCGCUUCCCGCAUGGGUGGUGGUGGAAAGGGUUUCCGGCUGGGGAUGGGCCCGCGGCCUAUCAGCUUGUUGGUGGGGUAGUGGCCUACCAAGGCGACGACGGGUAGCCGGCCUGAGAGGGUGACCGGCCACACUGGGACUGAGACACGGCCCAGACUCCUACGGGAGGCAGCAGUGGGGAAUAUAGCGCAAUGGGCGGAAGCCUGACGCAGCGACGCCGCGUGGGGGAUGACGGCCUUCGGGUUGUAAACCUCUUUCAGCAGGGACGAAGCGCAAGUGACGGUACCUGCAGGAGAAGCACCGGCCAACUACGUG